GGGGGCGACAUGGUUUCGACGGAGGCAGUUGACGCUUAAAGUUGCAUGCCGGGGUCCUGUCGGCCCGUUAUCCGGUGGGAACAUAAAGUAAUCGCAGACGAUUACACAUACGCCGUAGCCGCGUAAAUAAGGCUAUCGUCUUCCCAGCCUACUCCUGCGGGGCUGGUGCGGACGUCGACUAGCGGGAUAGGGAACGGGCACUGUCUAACCGGCCCAUGACCGAAACCAUAGGCUAGACUGGCCACCCGGAAGCCCUGUCCGUGGGACUAUCCGGGGGCGAGAAAGAAUCACGGACUAAGCAUGUAGUGGCUUGGGCUGAAAGCUUUCGGACCGGGGUUCGAUUCCCCGCGCCUCCACCA
Molecule: transfer-messenger RNA, 359 nt
Filed under: Desulfarculaceae
Lineage: Bacteria; Pseudomonadati; Thermodesulfobacteriota; Desulfarculia; Desulfarculales
Also listed under: 2 other names
Description: SURF-10 sp018896025 Standard tmRNA
Rfam family: transfer-messenger RNA
About the family: Bacterial tmRNA, also known as 10Sa RNA or SsrA, is named for its dual tRNA and mRNA-like properties. Its role is to liberate the mRNA from a stalled ribosome. To accomplish this part of the tmRNA is used as a reading frame that ends in a translation stop signal.
Source: RNAcentral